Long non-coding RNA from Gopherus flavomarginatus (Mexican gopher tortoise), 2945 nucleotides. RefSeq lists it as uncharacterized. The record is from RefSeq and is a predicted model, not a curated record. The transcript is spliced from 3 exons. Lineage: Eukaryota; Metazoa; Chordata; Testudines; Testudinidae.
GCUCGCUCCGCAGCUGGCAGCUCCCAGGCGGGCCCAGGGGCGGCCCGCAGCGCCGCGCCAGGUAAAAGUGGGAAGACCUUUGGAAGACCUCAUUGGGAUGACCCCAGCAGGAACCACCCACCUGUCUCGAUGGCCACCCGUUGAGAGAUCCACUCGACUCUAUGAAAUCUUUGCAUAUUUAAGUCCCACUUCUCUGAGCAAGACUACUACUAUGUGUUUAAAGGUACAUCUUAAGGAUCCGGUGGCUAAUGUUCGAAGUAUUGGAGAUCGAUUUAACGCGUCUCGUCUGGACGCGAUGAAUCGAUCAGCUAAUCGACGCCCGUACUCCACCUUGGCAGGAGUAGUAAGCGGGGCUGACGGAGGAGCUGUGGCAGUCGACUUGCUGCCGUGAGGACGGCCGGGUAAGUCGAACUAAGAUACUUUGACUUCAGCUACGCAAAUAGCGUAGCUGAAGUUGCAUAUCUUAGUUCGAACCCCACAGCUAGUGUAGCCCAGGCCUAAGACUUAGCCUGCACAGAAGAUAUUUGCACCAUAGGUCUGUACACUCAGAAUGCAGUUUUGCAAGAUUUGCAUCUUAUAAUAUGAGAAGUGACAAAGAACAUGAUCUCCCCACAGUUAUUGCCAGCUUCCUUGUUAGCCUACAGUAACCUUGUCCAACUGCAAAACCAUAAAUGUAAGAAAUUAUUCUACAUUUUUGAAGUAAAACUGCUAUAAUUCUGUCUGAAAACCCAAUCAAGCUUCAACACAUUGUACAUGCAUAUUCUGAUCUUUGUGUUGAUGAAAUAAAUACUAUUUACUCUCAGAUCUCCAUGGUUGCCAUGAAUGGUAUAGUUGUAGUAAUAUCUGAAUGAAAGGCCUUCAUUACAAACAAAACAUACGGAAUAUAACUAUGUUCUUUUCAGCUCUGUGCGUUGUUCCUCUCACCUAAAAUUUCUAAUCCAAUAAUUUUCAGCCUUUCCUGUUGAACAUUUUUAGAGUGUACUGCUCUGGAUUAAGUCAUGCCUAUGUUACCUUUGACACAUUACAACACUAAAAACACUAAAAAUCAACGCAAUUUUUCACAUCACAGACUCUUAUGUGCGAUUUACAGUUAUGUAAUUGUAAUAUUACAAUCUCUAAAGAGGGAUCUGAUUCCCAAUUUCCCCUGGAAGUGUGCUGCUCUUACUCCCCAAAGACAUCUGAUAAAAUACAUUAAUUCAACUGACUGCAUAAAUUUCAGGGUUUUUUAAUUCAAUCUUUAAAUUACCAUAAACUGCCAGCAUCACCUUAGCGCUAAAUUGUUAAUAUGCUUGUUUUGAAGAACUUGCAGAUUAAUUUUUUUCUUAUUCCCUUAGGGGAAAUGAGAAAGAUCUCUUCAAUUACUAAAAGGUGGGCACUAAACUUCAAACACAUCAAAUUAUUUGCGAACUAGUGAAGUGACAACUCAAACAUGUUUCAUAUUUGAUGGUGUUUUUAGCCUGUAAGAAAUUUGGUUUACAGCAGUGAAAAAAUGUUUACCUUAUCCUCCUAGCAAACAAAUCGCAAGCAAGAAGGAAGAGAAACAAUUAAUCAGCAAAUUCUGUUCCUGCCAUAGCUGUCCAAACUAACAAUCAAAAAUUAUCUGCAAACUUAUCAUUGUCCAUCCCAUUGGUCACCUUUUUAUUUCCCUUGUACUACUACAGGUAUGAAAACAACACCUGCAUCUUGUUGUUAGGAGCAAUUUAUUCUAGAAUAUAUUUAUAUUUUUGUAAUAUUUAAAAUAUUCCAGUAACAGGUUUUGUUCCCUUUAUAACUAAUGAUGUUAAAAGUUAAGACAUGCACAGCCACAUGUAUCACAGACUUUCAAUAUAUUUAAAAAUACCUCUGUACAGUAGCAGGGGAAAAAGGUAAGACCCACACUCAGUUCCUGGUGGGUUUACCAAGCUCUGGAUGGCUCACUCCUCCAAUCCAAUUACCAUGUCUACUUGUUUGGUGUUAUCUGCAAAGUCCUAAUGUUUUUAGAUUAAAGAGCUAUUACUUUCAAGUUGCGUCCUGCUUUUGAAACUGUGAAAGAUCCUAAAUAGCUCAUCAUCAGAACUACAGUUUUACUCUCCUUGAAGAUAUGUACUUAGGGGACUUUGAUGGCACCUAUUGCUCUUGAUAUGAUAACAUGACAACUUAACCAUUCAGCUGGAAUAUGCACAACUAAUAAUUGUAAAUUAUCCUUUUGAUUCUUUAUUGCAACUUGGAAACAAAGAAAGGUGAUCAUUUAUGCCCAGACUUAGAUCUGGAGGAAACAUUUCCUGCUACCUCCUACUGAACUAUGAGCUGGAGGAAUAUAGGAGGAUUUCUGGGAACUGUGGUAAAUUUGCCAACUGACCUAAAUAUUCAUAAGGGGCUAGUGCCACUCAUGCUGAAUCACACCAACAAGCAGUUGACAGUGGUUUUUGCAUUGCUAGCAGAGUAACCAAUUUAAAUGAUGGGGGGUGCUCUGAGUUUUCUGCAACAGAAAUACUGCACAAUUCCAAUCAAUGCUCUUCUAUUAUUUUUGCUGCCAGCUUCUAAAUACGUCCAGGUUUCAACACUUUGUCUGAAUUAAGCACGCACUUAGCAGUUAAGGGAAAGAAAUAUUGUUGGCAGUUAAACCAAACUCUAAGUUACACUCUUUGUCAAUUUCUCACAUAAAUAAUCAUCUUCUGACUAUCUUGACCAAAGUCAAUAUAUCAGCCCUGGUCUAACUAACUAGAGAGAUUAAGGAAAACAGUUGGCUUGCAGGCCAGAAAUCGGUCUAGUUAACGGAAUCUCCCACUUUGGCGUAUUCUAAUUUUGUAUUCUUAUAAGAACCCCUGCUCACUCCUAGAAAGGUUUAAAGGACCAUGUGUAGAUUGGGGAGGGAAACUGGUUUGGCUCAUAUAAGAAAAUCAUCACAACACUCCCAGGUAAAAAGUAGUAGGCGUAAGGCUGCAAUUUAACUUUACUUCCCAGGA